This 460-nucleotide ribosomal RNA is filed under the name uncultured bacterium. RNAcentral's name for it is "partial 16S ribosomal RNA". It matches the Rfam family "Bacterial small subunit ribosomal RNA", at positions 338 to 795 of the family's 1533-position model. The record is from RNAcentral.
CCUACGGGAGGCAGCAGUGAGGAAUAUUGGUCAAUGGGCGGAAGCCUGAACCAGCCAAGUCGCGUGAGGGAUUAAGGCCCUGCGGGUCGUAAACCUCUUUUGCCGGGGAGCAAAGGUCCGCACGUGUCCGUGCCGGGGGAGUACCCGGAGAAAAACCAUCGGCGAACCCGGUGCAAGAAGCCGCGGUAAUACGGAGGAUGCGAGCGUUAGCCGUAUUUAUUGGGUUUAAAGGGUGCGUAGGCGGGCAUUUAAGCCGGCGGUAAAAUGUCGGGGCUCAACCCCGGCCAGCCGUCGGAACUGGGUGCCUUGAGUGGGCGAGAGGUAUGCGGAAUGCGUGGUGUAGCGGUGAAAUGCAUAGAUAUCACGCAGAACCCCGAUUGCGAAGGCAGCAUACCGGCGCCCUACUGACGCUGAGGCACGAAAGUGCGGGUAUCGAACAGGAUUAGAUACCCUUGUAGUC